GCAACGCAUUUCACGGCACUCUGGGUGGAAAAAUGCAUUUAAGUGGCAUAUAAAUUUCCCGUUCGCAACGAACCGCAGACACUCACAAGCCAGACUCAGACUGUGGCUUUGUAGUCUGAAAGUCUCUGAGCAGUGAUAAGUGCCAGCUGAAACAAUUCGUAAGCAAUACGAUUGUACAAAUAAAGUCAGCGAGCGCGAUAUUUGAAAUCUUAAAGAUGAACAAGAUGCCUGAAUAUUGCCUUCAAGACUGGUUUUCUAAUUGAGUUUGGCCAAGAGUAAUGAAGUGGUGAUGAAGUCACUUUCUAUGGUUUCCUAGCAGAAAAGCAAAACUGUGGGAAGACGGCCAAGAAAAGCGAGGAAAGUGUUACUUUUCAACUUCUAACCUAAUAAAACAGAAACCUUUCCUAUGGUGCUUUAUUAUCGCUGGCAACCACUUGGAAACUCAACUAAUUUUUGACCCCACCUAGGCAAACACAAUCGCGGCAAAAAGGCUUUUACGGUCAACGUCAAGUUGUGGCCACGUUUUUCCAUGCAUGACCACCAUGGUGGCCCGCCUUCCUGCCACUCCUGGCAACUGGAUGUCCCGACUUCCGGAGGCGUCGUGCUUCGAAAAAAUCGUGUAACGCGGCGGACCGAAGGGAUGGCAAGUGCAUAAAGCACCGACAGAUAGCUUCAAUGGGACACCAAACCAGAGCGGAGCCAUCGGAGCCAGUGGCUCAGCGCCAUCGAUGAUAGCGCACAGGAGGCGGUAAACAAAACAAAAGAGCAAACGGAACGGAACGGAAACUAAAUAGGGUUAACAAGCGCCACAGAAGGGCGGGCAGACCUAAAAUCGAAAGCUUGUUAUUUUACCUAAUUGCAUGGCCAGGAUGGCAAUUUUCAUAUUUGUCUAGUGACAGCGAAACAAAUGAAAGAACUAGAGCAUUUGGCUAAUUCAGAGUGGCGUACUCUACUUUCCUGCCGAGUUGAUCGAUUACCUAUUGGACCGUGCAGCUAAGCGAUGAUUUAAUGUUGGGUAUUCACUCUCAUUGAAGAUUGAGAUUGAAGUAUGUGCACUGAAGUAUGUACACUAAGGUUUAAAGUUGUAAAGUAAAGAAAUAGAAAACUUUAUGAUCUACUGAGUUUGCCAUUCCCUGGACACUGUUUUAAAAUAGCAAUAAAAUAAAUCGUUUUUCGAGUUCCGUAAUCUA
Drosophila teissieri is the source of this 1190-nucleotide long non-coding RNA. RefSeq lists it as uncharacterized. Lineage: Eukaryota; Metazoa; Arthropoda; Insecta; Diptera; Drosophilidae. The transcript has 2 exons. The record is from RefSeq and is a predicted model, not a curated record.